Molecule: long non-coding RNA, 2038 nt
Organism: Leucoraja erinaceus (little skate)
Lineage: Eukaryota; Metazoa; Chordata; Chondrichthyes; Rajiformes; Rajidae
Exons: 6
Source: RefSeq, a predicted model, not a curated record
CACAUAAGAAUCAAACAAACAAUAAUUGUGCAAUAAUAACAAUAAAAGUUGAUGUAGUUCAGAACUCAUUUGAGGUUAAUUGGCUUGGUAUAAAUGCAAAACUUGUCCCUAGCAUGUGUAGGAUAGUGUUAAUGUGUGGGAAUCGCUGGUCGACACGGACUCGGUGGGCCGAAGGGCCUGUUUCCGCACUGUAUCUAGAAACUAAACUAAAACGAAACAUGCAGAAUAAAUGCUGGUUUUCCUCACGUUAACACUCGAAGCAGAAUCUUUCCACAACCAUAAACUAAAUGUUGUUUUACAUUUCGUUGAAUGAGCCUAUUCUGCUCUGUUUUAUGCAGAGGGUGAUUUCUAACUGUUUAGCAUCCAGGUCGAAAUCCUAUCGUCGGUAGAUUUCCAUUCGCUAAGUAGUAAACUAAUUAGAAAGCUUUGCAUUUUAUUAUAAUUGACUUUUCACCAGUUAUGACAUUUUGAAUACAGGCCUUUUUUUUUUUGCAUUUCCUCUUUAACUCGGUGACAGCUCGAACAUCUGACAAAUUACAACAACUUUCCUUGACAUUUGCUGCUAGCCAAUUCACACACAUUAAUCAGCAAUGUUUUGUUUUCACAUUUUUUAAAUCUUUCUUGUCACAUUUUCAAAAAAAAAUCUCCAACCAAACACCAGCUAUUAGAUAAGUGAUUGAAGGAGCUGAUAAGAGGAUUCCGAUCGAGAUUUAUUUUCCUCUCGUCUCUUUCCUUGAAUUCUUCUCUUCUUUUCUCUGUAGUGAGAGAGUGUCCACUGAGACCUUUCCCUUGAGCUGAUUUCAAGAAAGAAAAGGGCAAAGAUAUUCUCUGUGCCUGAGGACAGGCCACAAAGGUCAGGACAUCUCCCAAGCUCUGUUUAGCCUCUUUGUCCAGCACUAGACUAAGGUGGCCUUUACGGGCAGAGGGCAGAGCAAGGUCUUUUUCAAGUUAUAAGUAACUAUCAGAACUCCAGCGUGAUUGUGGAUCCCGUCAUUGCUCUUCAAAAAAACCUGUUCACUUUGAGUGUGAUUUCCAUUUAUAUUACGUUUUAUAUACAAAGCAUUUGGAUCAAAUGAUUACUGAAUCAUCCUUACCCUGAGUCCUGGGUUUGAUCCUGUCUGUGGGUGCUGUCUGUACAGAGUUUGUACGUUCUCCCCGUGACCUGCGUGGGUUUUCUCCGAGAUCUUCGGUUUCCUCCCACACUCUGAAGACGUACAGGUACAGUGAAAUGCAUAGGAAGGAACUGCAGAUGCUGGUUUAAACCGAAGAUAGACACAAAAAGAUGUAGUAACGGAGUGUCCCUGGAGAUCAAGGAGAGGCAGCACUUCAGAAACACGGAACAAGGGGCAGCACGGUGUUCGAUCCUGACCAUGGAUGCUGUCUGUAUGGAGUUUGUACAUUCUCCACGUGACCUGCGUGGGUUUUCUCCAAGAUUUCUGGUUUCCUCCCACACUCCCAAGACGUGCAGCACGGAAACAGGCCGUUCGGCACACCGUGUCCAGGCUAACCAUCGAUCAUCCACUCACACUCGUUCUAUCGUACCUGUCGGACUGGCCCUCACCUCGUGAACCAUGUUCAAGGUGCUUCAUUACUCCAGUCAUGGCGUAAGCAAGGUGGGAUUCUGAAGCUGCACUGGAAUAGGUUCCGAGAAGAUUCGGCUUCAGAACAGAUGCUGGAAUCCCGAGUGCUGGAGUAACUCUGCAGGACAGGCAACAUCUCCGGAGGACAUGGAUGGGCAACUUUUCGGCCCAGAGGAAUGACUUUGCCUGCUGCCGUGCCGUUAAUGCCAAGACCUUUAACUUUGAAUAAACUUUCGGGGAAAAGAGUGUGAAUCAUCAACGAUAUAAAACUGACAAUAUAAAAAUGUUAAAAGUUGAAAAUAUGUAAUAGUGUAAACAAGUCUUGUGAGUGUUUUUAACAUUAAAGACAUUCCAGUCACCACCAUUGUUCUGAAGGCAUUCACUUAUUUAAAAUAAGCACCUUAUUGCUCCAGUUGCACUAGCAGACAGUAUAAUACCAGAGUGCCAUAUUAAAUGUA